RNAcentral lists this small RNA (76 nucleotides) under Xanthomonas phaseoli pv. syngonii. RNAcentral's name for it is "Xanthomonas axonopodis pv. syngonii sX9 sRNA". It matches the Rfam family "Xanthomonas sRNA sX9". Lineage: Bacteria; Pseudomonadati; Pseudomonadota; Gammaproteobacteria; Lysobacterales; Lysobacteraceae. The record is from RNAcentral.
GUGUGCCGGCGCGCAGGCUCCGGUUCCUGCGCACCGUCGGCGUCCACCUGACGAUUGCUCACGACGUUUGUCGGCC